CCUACGUGUGGCAGCAGUGAGGAAUAUUGGACAAUGGACGCAAGUCUGAACCAGCCAUGCCGCGUGCAUGAUGACGGCUCUAUGAUUUGUAAACUGCUUUUGUACGAGGGUAAACCCCGAUACGUGUAUCGUGAUGAAAUUAUCUUACGAAUAAGGGUCGACUAACUUCGGGCCAGCAGCCGCGGUAAUACGGAGGAGCAGAGCGUUAGCCGGAUUUAUUGGGUUUAAAGGGUGCGUAGGCGGUUUGAUAAGUUAGAGGUGAAAUGUCGGGGCUCAACCCCGAAAAUGCCUCUAAUACUGUUGGGCUAGAGAAUAGUUGAGGUAGGCGGAAUGUAUGGUGUAGCGGUGAAAUGCUUAGAGAUCA
Molecule: ribosomal RNA, 364 nt
Filed under: uncultured bacterium
Lineage: Bacteria
Description: partial 16S ribosomal RNA
Rfam family: Bacterial small subunit ribosomal RNA
Source: RNAcentral